This 42252-nucleotide long non-coding RNA is filed under the name Brachypodium distachyon (stiff brome). Its description in RNAcentral is "long non-coding RNA (BDIS_LNC001978)". The stretch from base 4265 to 4389 matches the Rfam family "MIR1120/MIR1122 microRNA precursor family". The record is from RNAcentral. Lineage: Eukaryota; Viridiplantae; Streptophyta; Magnoliopsida; Poales; Poaceae.
UAUGCUUCAGUACUCUGCAGUUAUUUCUAAAUGAUAGCAGAAGUCAAGGCGAUGUUCUGAUAGUAUACUCGAACAUUUGCAGGUUUGUCACGAAGCUCUCCCUUCACUUGUUCAAUGGUGAUACCAGCCAAGCAGCUUUCCGCAUCUUGUCUGACUUCCGGAAAGGCAGAUUUGGUUGGGUGGCCCUAGAGAGACCUCCAACAUGAACAAUGGAUGCGGAGUACGAACACAUUGAUCGGGUGGCCCUAGAGAGACCUCCAACAUGAACAAUGGAUGCGGAGUACGGACACAUUGAUCGCAAUGUCUUUUGUUGCGCCACUGUAGAUUAAUUUCUCUGGACCUUGACCUGUGUGACAGAUGAAGAGUGAAUUGACAGUAGGGUGGCUAAUAUCCCCAGAGGACAAGCGGACAAAACAUCAGAAAUAACCCUUUUGGCUGUCUAGAGGUCUGAGCUGAUAUGUAUAAGCAUGUGACAUAUUGGUUAACUUGUCUACAUAUUUGUAAGCUGUUGCAGAAUAAUUGUGUGGAAUAAAACUUUAUUUCAAUCUUGCACAAUUAGAUGCUCCCCUCAUGGUUUCUUGAUGGCCCAUUUCCAAAGGGUGCUGGCUAUGAGGUGAAAUUUGAUGAAGCUUACAUCUACGUUCCAAACACCACUGUACAAUCCAUCUGGAGCUGGAAAUAUUUUGGCGAUGAACAUUCACAGCAGAGAUAUCACAUCUCUUGCUACUUUCCCUCAAAACUUGUAUUUCUUGUACAAGCAAUUAAACAUUACAUAUAUAUUUUAACAACAAUUUCCAUUUUUGGUUCAAAACAUGAUACUCACUCCGGCUGGAAUUACUUGUCGAAAUAUUAUAUGUAUUUAGAUGUCUUUUAAACAUAGAUUUGAGACAAGUAAUAUGGGUCGGAGGAAGUAUAUGAUUACAAUGUUCUUCACCUCAAACGGGUGGCCUUGCUAAAGAUAAACACCGAUUUUUACAUCCUAGCCAGUGUUGUGGAUUUUGGAUUUGAGGGUUAAAGAUGACUGCACAAUUUCCAGGUUCAUGUUCCUUUCUAAUUGAUUCCUCAACGUAUUGUGAUAUCAUCAAGCCUGUCAAUUAAAUCCAGAGCUUUGGUCCUAUCAAUCUCGAAAUCUAUGACAGGAAGCAUGGACAACCUCCUGACUGGGAGCAAGUCGUUCAUGUUGCCACUAGUUGGAGAAUGGCUAUUGCUCUUGCACAAUCUGCUCUGUUUGUUGUGCCUUGACUUUGUGUCAAUUCUUGACUUUUGCUUAUUCCAGGGACGAAUUUUCUGUACUUGACACACCUUAGCAUAUCCUGAUCCUCUGGUGUGAGAACAGGUGAUGAAUUGUUUGGUUGGUCCAGCUGCAACCUGAUUGCAGGUACCUUUUGUGUUGGUGAACGGGCAGGAGAUUUGAUAGGAGACCUUACAUCUCCAUUAGCAGCUCUGGAUCUACUGAUAAGAUGAUGAAGCCACACAACAAGCUCAAGAAUAUGCGCUUCAGUCUUUUCCUUCUCAGCAUGAUACAGUGUCUCAAUUCGGGUCAAGUCCAUCUGUCCCGAUAGCUUGCAGUUCAGCUCAGAUCUGCAUAGAACAAAAAGGUUCCCACUCUUGAGAAAUUAUAGUUUCAUCGGUUAUUUCAAAAUAUUAUAAUCAUAUGCUAACCUUGUAUUUGCCCACUCUCCAACCCAACCAAAGCCGUGGUGUGCCCUGAUAACAGAUAAUCACAUUCUUCAGUGGCAUGUGGUAGCUUUUGCAAUUUUAAAAAUCAGGUCAUAGGAGAUAAUAGAGCACUUAGUCGUGUUAUUUGCAACAGGGACAAGCCAUCGCAAAGUUUUCUCCAUUUCAGCUUUGAUUUGAGAAACUGUAAACUGCAAGUGCAAACAUGUUCCAGUGUUAAACAUAUAUAUCACCACAGAAUGGAAUUGUAAUUCUAUUCCACAUUUCCACAGCAAGGUAUUGUGAUUCAUGACUCUUUACUGAGCAGCAAAUAUAAGCAUUCUAUACCUCUUCUUUGAUUCCAAAUGAUUGCAGCUUACAACGAAGAGCGGAUUUUAUGGUAGGCGGCAAACCUUGGUACAAAUUAUCCCUCGUGUUUGCAGAAAUAGAACUUGAAUGAGAAACCUGCCAACAGAUAAAAUCAUUUUUGGGGCAUAUCAAAAGAAAUUCAAAUGAAACGAUGUAUCACCACAUGAACAUGAGCUGUCACAUGUGGUUGCUGUGCUAAUAUUUCAUAGCACAAUUGAGUUUGGUCGUUAUGCUAAGCAAUCACCCUUUGAGAUGCACUCAUGCAAUCAACUCACAGUUUGGGCAGAAAAUCAACAACUGAACAUGUGGAAAAAUCCCAAAAAGAAAAAAAACGAUGGUGAUGCGGUGUGUAGAAUGCAUAGUACUCUUUCAAAUUUCAACUUUAAAUUCAUAAUGUAUCAAAAGAACAAAAGAAAAGAAAUAUUAUUAGGUUCCUAAACCAAAGAAGAUUGUGUGAGUUCACUGCAUGAACAGUAAAACCGAAAAAACAUUAGCAUGUUUUAAAAAUUCUGAAGAAAAUUACGCAUAUAUAUGCUUGAGUCUUCAAUAUACCUGUGAAUUUUCAUGUCAAGGAGAAAUUUUGUGUCGUAUACAGAAAUAACAAAUUACAGUGCUCUGAAAAGUACUUCUUAGGACCAAAUUUGCCUUUUUUGCCUAAGACAUUUUGUGAAAUAUUUUGGCGAGAAACAGAUUGUUUUCUCCAGCUGGGAGCAUGUGUUCCAGGGAGCUAAUGAGCCAAAUUGAAUUUCUGAUGAAAAUAAGCUUAUUUUCUAAGAAACUUGGACUUGGACCAUGCAGAGAAAGGAAAUAUACAUCUUUGUACUGGCAACAUGUCAAGAUUUGUGACUGCUAAUGUGAUAACUUAAUAAAUACAUAUGAUUUCCAGUAUGGUGUUAACUUACAAGCGCAUCAAUCUGGUUGAUGAUAUUCGCAUAAUGCAGUGCAAGGCCUGCUGGUCCCAAUCUCGAAUGACGUUUGGAGGGUUCUUGUGGCUCUUCACUCUCUACAGUUAAUAGGAGCAGGAACCUCUAAAUCAUUGUCACAAUAAAUGAUGGUUCGUCAUAACAUCACAUUCUUUUGACAAGAAUCGGACUACAAUAACACUACCUAUUGAGGUAUGCAAUUUAGACUAACAGAUAAAACAAUUAAAGUUUUGUGUUCAUGCAUGCACGAAAGCCAUGGUUUUGCAAAUACCAUUGCACACUCCAUAGCAAUUGCUAGGAAUAGAAUUAUAGAACUGGCCACUGGGUGUACUAGGCAGAUCAUAUUUUUUAAUGCCGCAAUUUCAUGAACAGAUAAGAUUUAUGUACCUUGUCCCCCCUGCUAAGUGUGAUUAAGUUCAGAGCAUGACUUGUUAACAGAACUGAAUAAUAAACAAUUAACUUUGCUUGGCUAAGGAUGAAAAGCUAGCUAAAUUCGAUUAGAGCUCUAUUUAUGGAAUUCAUGUUCCAUGCAGUGCUGGUGACUGUCAAUAAUGAAGAAAAAUGAGCAAUGACUAUCUGUUUAAUUCUUAUGAUAGAUGCAUGGAAAUUAAGGGUCAUCUAUCCAGGUAAAAGAUUCAACCCCUUUAUGAUUUAUUUUUUACUGGACUUAAUAUGAGAAAACCGGCAGACUUGAAACAUAUUCGGGUCAAAUCAAUUAUGGCAAGGAAAAUAUAUGACUCUUUCAAAUAACCAUAAUCAAACUGCACUAGCAACAACAUGCACUCUUGUUAGACAGCAGCUAUAAGGAUCGAUACCAGCACGACCAAAAGCAUUAUAGAUCUCCAGAUCUAAGAAUUGGACGAUGUCUACAAGCUUUUCAAUCACCUGCAAAGUGAACAUAGUUUUUGAAAGCAUGAGAGUCAUAGAAAAGUAUCUUUGUAGCAUGGGGUUUUAAAGACGAGCCGGCAUUUCUGAAUGCAACAGAUUUAUAAAGAAACCACCUACUACCGACCUCUUCCAAAUUCUUGGACCAAAGUGACCUUUUUUUCAAACUUUUAACAUGCUUACUUUGGCUCUUCACUUCCUGCUUUAGUAUAUGCAGGCUGUCACCUGCAAAAAAAAUCGGAUGUUUUCCUUUAGUUCGUUAAAAACUACGAUUGAUGAUAAAUAUCUAUCCUUGUAGACUGGUAACUUUUUUAGCAAAAUAGGUUGUACCCACAAAUCCUUGAGAUGCACCAUAAAUGUUGUUCUUUACUUCUAUGCACACAAAAAAAGGGAUACUAAUCACAGAAUGCUUUGAAUCUCAGAAACGAAAUAUGAUACUCCCUCCGAUCCAUAUUAAUUGUCUCAAAUUUGCCCAAAUAUGGAUGUAUCUAUGCCUAAAAAGUGUCUAGAUACAAGUAAUAUUUCGACAAUUAAUAUGGAUCAGAGGGAGUACAUAAUUAUUCAUUCAUAAAAGUGGCAAUACUUCAAUUAUGUUUCUUGAAUAGCUAGAAAACAGGAGUAACCUAUCCAAUGUAUGCAAUUCAUGAUAUAAUUAAGCUUAUAGUGCAGCCAGGCUAGAUAAAUCAAACAAUUUAAUAGAUCAGAAACAAAAUUAACCUGUUGAACUCAAGCCAUCAUGUUCUUGAUGUUUACGAUGAUAGUCUUGUUCAAACCUAUCCAAUGCAUGCAAUUCAUGAUAUAAUUCCUGAGGAGUAAAACAUAAAGAGGUGAACAAAAGUUAAUAAUUAAUAUGCAGAAAAAUUAAUGUAGUUAACUAACCAGAACAGCACGAAAAGUACAAAAGAUGCACAUCUAGCAAAAGCCUUAAAAGUAUAGCUCGUUUUGGGCAUUUACAUGGUCUCCAAGGUACCAGUUUGAUUGCCAUCUUCAAUCACUAUUAAUUUCAAGAUGAAUCUGUUGGUACGAAAACCAUAUCGACAAUUUAGAAUUCUAGAGACCUAUUCAUUUAUUCAUGGACAAAACUAAAAUGUUGGACUGCACAGUGCGUAUAAUCUUGGAUGGUUUACAUUUGGAUCUGGAAGGAUUACAUUGCAUGGUUUUUUGCACUGGCCGUAAAAACAACACUCACCACAGAAAUUUCUGCUAUCAAAAUAAUUCAGCUAUAGGCCAGAGAUUUCUACAUCCGUAUAUUGAUUAUCUAGCUAAGAUUCAGUGCUAAAUUAUUUUUGCACAGUUAAGAGAUAUGCAAAAUUCAGGCAACCAAAGGUCCAAAACGGCACUGUGUAAAAUGCAGUGACUUACUACUACCAUGCUAAAGUAGUGUGGUGGUCCUUACAGCUGUAUACUGAACACAAAUUAUCAAUUGCUGCAUCACUGUCUCAGCAUCUUGUUUCAGGUAAUGCUGGGAAGUUCUUUCUGAUGCCAACCUAAGAAUUCAACAGCAGAACACAGCUUAGUACCCUGAAAAAAAAACUUUAUUAAAUGCAGAGACAGAAAAAAACUGUACUUUCCAAAGUAGCGGUCCAAGUUGUGCCACUGAGGAUCCUUGCAACGGUUUCCAAAGCGAAUAACCUCUUUUGAGAAUACUUCUAACUCUUCCCUGUUGGAAUCAAACAAUUAAUCACUUGACAAGAAUACAAGAAGGUGUGCUACAGUUCUCUGAAUACAGUUCUAGUGGGGUAAUAUGUGCCAUGGGCAUGAGUAAUUUAGGCUACAUCCUAUGAACCUAUGAAACAAUGUAGAUUCAACACUAACCUUUUGUCAGCAGCUGCGAUCUCAAGUAGUUCAUCCAUAUCUUUCGAUACAAGGUGUUGGACACCUUCUGAGUGAAGCACCACUUCUUUUAUAUGCUUUAUGCUAGCCUUCGACAGAGAACGCAUCAGAUUGGAACCCUUAACUAUAGUAUUUGCCACUUCAAAUGCCAAAAUAGAUAUUUUGUUUCCCUUUGCUGCAGCACUUGAUACAAAACCACUGCUAGUAUUUAAACUUGCCAUGCUGCUACCAAGUGUGUCUAGAACCUCCACCGCCUUCCCAAGCCCGACAGUGCUUGCUCUACCUAACAUCAAGCUCAUUUCUGAAACCUGUUUCAAUAAUCAAUACAGCAAGCAACCAUUAAGCAGCCAAAUCCCUCAUGGAAUUAACACUCUGGACUCUGGAAAAGAGCAAAGAGAAGAGUAUAUUAUUUAAAUAAAAGAGAUCCUUAUAACAGGAAAAGAUCAACAAAUUGGCAUUUAUUUCUAGUUAUUACAAAAUAAUUAUCAUAACAUGAUAGCCUAAGUACUGUAAUAUUGAAUUUUUUUUAUGAGGGUGCUAAUAAAAAAUAAACAGAUAUGUUCUUGGUAAGACAGCUAGCCUGAAUAUUUUUUUCCCCUGAAUAAGUAUUUGCGAAUUCAACAAGAGAGACAUAUAGACCUACAAAGUGGUUAUCCCCUGACAUAUAGUGAUUGUUCAUAUAACAUAACAGGAACAUCUUACGUCAUUACAAUUGUACAAUCUAAUAAACCAAUUACUUAAUAAACACUUUGAAAAGCUAACAGUUAAGGGAAUGAGGCCAAAGAACUUAAUAAACACUUUGAACUUAAUAAUCUACGAGGAAUUAAAGCAAAGGGCAAUUAGUACCAACCUUUGUCUUGCCCAAACCAGCCUUUUGCGACAGUGUCCGAGCAAGGUGUGGUGUCCUGGAGCCUGUCUGUCCGGCAUCUGCACCGUUAUAACCAGCAAGGCCAGGUACAACGCUCUCCAAGAACGAGAAAGACUGUUGCCGCUCUUUGAUAAGCUUCGCUGUGGCCUCUUCAGGAAUCGGUAACUUAUCCUCCUUCAACUCCUUCAAUGUCACCGUUUCAUGAUCGAUUAUCUGGUUCCGGCCAAGCAUGGUAUCACUUGGCGACUUGUCUACUGCCGAGACCUUUGAGCAGAGGCCUCCCAUCCCCUUUCUAAACAAAAUUCCUGAUUCCCACCUCUAUGCGUAAUUGCUAAUUCAGCUGCUCACCUCCCUUGCACUGGUACCAUAUUUUCUCAUCUUCCACAAAGCUAAAGCAAUCUAGACACUUCAAUUCCACGAUGUUCCAAAAUUCCCCGAUCACCUCCUCCAAAAACAACCACAAGGCCACCCAAUCCACCAAACUAGACCAAACCAACCACGCAGAAAAGAAUCAGCUCAGCACGAGGGUUUUGCCGCAGCGUAAUCCCAGCAACUCCAAUCCAUGUAAAGCGCCUGCCAGAAACCAAACAAACGGGCCAACUCACGACGAUGCCCAUUUGUCCGUAAAUAAAAUAAAAAAAUGAACAUGGGUAGUGGUCUCAGAGCGGGAAAAACGGUCAUCACGAACCUGAUGAGGAUCAGUCGGGUCCCCAGGCACCGGCGGGGCGCAGAGAUUGUAACUUCUCGCGGGGAUUUGACGGAUUUGGGGAAGAGGAGGGACGAGGGAAGGCAGAGAGUCUUCAGUUGUUGCGGGGAAGCGAGUAAGGGAGUCCACUCUACCAAAGCAGAAACAGCGCAAUAGGGACCCCCGCCUGUAAACUGCCACCGCCACACGAACACAUGCACACACAACCCAACUGUUUUUGCAUUAAAAAAAAACAACUGUUUUGUUUUUUUAAGGAGGUUGAAAGUGAAACCCCCUGCAUCAUCCGCCAUAACCCUACUGUUCUUUGAACACGAUAUCUAAAAUGUAGUAUCUGGGUGUGUCUUGUGCUCUUCUAUUCCAUAAUAUAACGCACAUAAUAAUGACCGAUAGUGGGUGUUGUAAAUAAUGUAUUUUUUAAUAUUGAUGUGACAAAUACACUGUGAUUGUAUUUUUUCAAAAUUUUCACUAAUUUCUACUAACCAUAAGGCCCCACCCAAUCACCCGGGUGGGUCUGCCCAUGCACAAAAAUAUAGGCAUGGGUGAUAUAUAAAUAUGUAUGUACUGGGGUGGAGAUUUUCCACCCUUCCCUUCCCCAUGAUUAAGAAAACAAAAUAGUACGGCAGUAGUGACAUGUGUAAGGAAAAUAGCUGAGGCCAAAGGAAAAAACCUCAACAAAAUAGUGGCGCAAGGAUAAGGAACUAAAAGCACCAUUAAGGCUGAACACCGAUGGCCGGCCAUAAGACUUUGGACCAACUUAUAUUUCAGCAUUAAAUGAACUCAUUUUUUUUUGUCUCAAGUAAUGUAAAUGAUUUGGUAUUAUAGGUCAUGUUUUUCUCUAAACUUAGACACUUAGUCACCUGAGCCUUCGUAAUACCUCGUUCUUUUCAGUUCUCAGGAGGGUCUUCUUUAAGAAGCUGCUCGUCCCCAGCUUCUUUGAGAAGCCGUAUGUGAAAUUUUGCUAGUCUUCUAAAUUAGAAAGGGCUAAACUAACCUAGAAACUUAGCAAAAGAAUUAGGACGGUUUCUCUAGAAAAUUAGGAGAAGCAGUUUCUCAUGAAAGCCAAAACGGAGGGGGGCCUUUGGUCCCCUUGUGGCUUAGGAAAAAUUUCCCAACAGCUGACAGGAGAAACCCAAUCCAAAUCACCCGUAAAAAAGGGUUUGCACGAAAAAGUGGUCUCGACCAGUUUCCGGGGCUUCUCCGCACACUUGUUUCAACUUACCCCCGGCACACCAUAUUUACGGCCAAUGCCACCGCCAAGUUUCCACUCGCGAAUCGUUUUUCCCCAGACCCGAGCGACCCCUCGCGAGCAGAAACACACCGCGCCCCCUUGCCGCCGCCACUCCUCCCCCACGCCGCCUCGUCCCAACCUCCGGCCGCCCCUCCUCCUCCCCAACGUCGGCCAUUCGUCCCCACAUUCGGCCGCCCCGAUUCCUCCCCAACCCCGGCCGCCCUCCUCCUCCGAAAUGCCGGCCGCCCCGCCUCCUCCCCAACCCCGGCCGCCCCGAUUCCUCCCCACCUCCGGUCUCCUCUCCGGCCUCCCAUCAUCUCCCCUGGUCCCGCCGCCUUCCCAUUUCCCCCGCAACUCCUGCGCUCCCCCCCCCCCCCCCCCUCAUCUCCCCGAAUCCGCAACCCUCCCUCUUCCCUCCGGUCGCCGCUGCAUCUCCGUCUGCCCCGCUCUCCACCUUGACCCGACGGGUAUGCCCGGGAUCCACCGCGAUGGCCUCCGGCACCGAGCAACAGGUACGAGAUGCGACAGCUUCUUCUUCAGGCAGCAACAGGUACGAGCGCAGUCCCGCAGUCCCGUAGUCCCGCCUUCUUCUUCAGACAACUUCUUUCGCCGGGAUCCCGAAGUCCCGAGAUCCACUUCGCAGCCCAUCCCCAACCGCCUCGCCCAGCAGUCCAGCGGACGAGGUGUUCGUCAGUCCAGCGGCCAAGAUGUUCAUCCCCAACUUAUUCAUUUGAUGUUUCUUGUGUUGUAUGUGUAGGUUGGUUUCUGCGUUUAUGCGUUAGCAAGAUCCAUAUUAUGGAGAUAAUUUUUUUCAUGAGUUAGAAAUGCAUAAAUCAUGGAAAUGAAUAAGUUGUUUCCAUGAGUACAGAAAUGAGUAGACAGUUCCUUAUUCAGAGAUGCUUUUGUUUGGAGAUGAAGAUUCCAGUUCUUUGUGUAUUUGGAGAUGAAGAUUGUAGUUCUUUGUGUAUUUGGAGAUGUCUUGUAUGUGUGCACAGAAAUGAUUCUUACGUUCAUACAGUGAUGUUAACAACGAAAUAACACAGUUGGUGUCAAGGGGCAUUACGGACUAUUCUUACUCAAACCAGACAAUUAAGCUGCAUUUCUAGAAGCUGAAAAGAAGGAGACAAAAAUAACUUCUCCGGCUUCCUGCGGCAGCAGUUUUCCUCAGAAAUUCAGCUGAAACUGGUUUCUGGAGAAGCUCCAGCCGAAAAGAAGAAGGCCUUUAUUAGCUAGUUUGCACAUCUGUUACUGGAUAUAAGAUGUUUGGUUUGUCCUAAAUUUAACUUCUUAAUUUUUACCAGAUUUGAAAAAAAACACUACCAAAUCUACAACUCUAAAUUAGUUUAUUCAAUCAUUUAUGAUACAUAUCUUCAUAAUUUAUAUAUUUAUAAUAAUAAUAUUGUAAAUAUUAGUACAUUUUUCUAUAUACUUGGUCAAACUGUUGAAGCCAAACCGAGCAGAAUAGAUACCACCCCUACCGCCUGCCCAACAUCCUAGCACAUAUUUGCCGUGCUAAAUAUUUUCUUGUUCAAUGUGAAUGUUUCAGUUACCAAUGAGUUUUCAGUUUGACAAGGAAAAUAAACCAAAAUUUACCAAGAAGCAUUGAUUUGCCAAAAAAUUGUGGCUUUGCCGAAAUAUUAGUUCAUUUGACCAAGUUUUCGUCAAGACGACUAAAGCCUUGGUAGGAUGGGCUUUGGUCACCAUCCAAACAUACUCGUCCGAUCUCAAUCUUUUAGGAAGGGUCCAAAGUAUCUUGCCCUAAUGUCAGUCGUGAGUAACACGGUCCGCAACAGUUGGGAAACAUAUGCAUGACUAACAGGCGACCAUCCAGAUAAUAAACAGAAAGCACACAAGUACACACAGCAUCUCUAGCUAACAACGUCGUAGUUCUGAAUCUUUUCUUCUUUUUUCAACAUGAUAGCAGCCAGCAACCCAACAUCCUCCUCACGAUACUUGUGAACAGGAGCUGAUGCUACCACAAACGUGAAACUACCAGCUUGAUCACCAAUUUACAAAAGAUGGAGAUACGGAGACAGACUAUUCUACAUCAUACGCUAGCAUCUGGCAAGCUAGGUCUAGAGAGAAGCAUCAGCGAUUUUUACAAGGUCAGUGAGUUGAGUGUCUUGUGUCUGGUUCACUACUGCAAAUACGGCUUGCCACACUUUCUUAGCCUCAUCGCCCAUGUGCCAGACUCGUCCUCUUUUUUCCUUGGCCAUAAGUAGGCCUGUAGGGGGAAGUUAGCAUGCUUAUGACUUUCUUCUUUAACCAAACAGGCCCAAGUACUUUUGAAGCGUCUUAGCUCUUAAGUUGAGAGAUAUGAAGACAUGGCUCUUCUGAAAUCCAGAUUCAUUGCUGAGCCUGCAAAAGGUGGCACACCUUCAGGGACCCACAAACCACUUCUGUUAGGAAACAUGAUCUCUGGAUUCAUACGGUCCUUCUCAGUGCUUGUUUGCUCAGAUGGAUCUUCCUUUUUGCUAUUCACGAAUUCAAAGAACUCUGCAACUUGCUGAGCAUACCUGUACAGGCAAAAGAUCCAAACCUUAAAUGGAAAUGCAUAAUUUUACAAGUACAUAGGAGUAGGCCCUUUCACAACUAUGUUCUGAUGCUUAUAUCCGGUAACUAGUCAAUAGAAUAGCAUAGCGACGUCCUAAUUGAACACAUAAGGCCUAGCAAAGCUGAUUAAUCAGAUAAAAUUAGGACUACAAACAAUGCAGUUAGUUCAAUCAAGGUUUGCAAACUCACUGUCGUUUCGCUUGUAUAUCUUUGUUGAAAUCAAUGUCAGGUUCACAAUCCAAGACCAGAGCAGGCACCUACAUAUCAAAAAGCCUCAAAAUAUAAACUGAGGUGUGCACUAGAGAAGCAAACAAAUAUAGGAGGAUGUACCUACCUUCUGGAUACUAGAGUGCAUAUGAUCUCCUUCCAAGUAAAAAACACGAUCCCGUAUUCCAGGAGGCAAAGAGCCCUCCAUAUGUGUGGGCAGCUGACUAACUGACAAUACACCACGGCCUCCUCCUUUCGAGGGAAAUAGCCAGCUCUCAUGUUUCUCAUGCAAACCUUGCAAGUAGUCAAGACUAACACCACCUUCCUCUGAUCUUUUCCGGAGCAUCAUCCUUUUAUGGCAAGUAUCUGGGCUGGCUCUUAAAUAAAUAAAUCCAUCUGGAAUAAGACCUGGGAGCGAUGACACCACUGGAUCGAACCAGGAAUCAUAAAUGCUGAUCUCCAUCUCAUUCAUCCAGUUAGCUUCAUGAACAGCACGGACAAAUACCUGUUGAAUAUUGGAACUUAAGUAAGUUUAAUCAGAAAGAAAAAAUAAACUGUUCAUACAUCAAUUACAUUAGCAAGUAAGAUAAACCUACCAUCCUGUCACUGAAAACACUUCUUUCCAUUAGUCUGAGAGGUUUUAUGCCACCUGAAGAUUCCCUUUCUUGCAUAACCCUUGUCACAAACACAUAGUUCUGGAACGUGUAAGCAUAUCUUUGGGGCUCAGCAUAGAAGGCAUCCAGUAUAUUGAAGUGAUCAGGGCCAACAUCCUGCCACUUUGCAACAGGUUCAGGUACUAUUUCUACAAGAUCACGCAGUUCAAUAGUCUCAUUAGCUAUUCUUUGGAGGAAGGUGCUCUUCCCAACACUAAUAUUUCCUUCCACACAAAAGGUUAGCCUCUUCUUGCGAGGAGGCUUACAUGAAUUGGUAUCCUCUAGCUCCUGAACAACACUCUCUUUAAUGAAUGAAGUUAUACUCUCAGCAUGGUUCUUAUGUAUGAUGCCAACCGAGCUCUGUAAGAACUCAACCAUCUUCUCACUAGACUUUCCAAAGAACUGCACAUGCAUGUAAAUUUGUAAAUUGUCAGUACAAGUCAAGAGAGGAGCAUUCAAAGAAGUCCAUAACAUCUACAUGAUAAUGUAAGCAAAACAAACAAAAUAAGAGAGUGGCAGCCUGGCAGGAAGCUAUAGUAUCCUAAGGGCAUCUCCGAUAGUGCCAUGUCACCGUCAGAAGGCCAUUGCCACAUCAUCAAAAUCCUAUGUGGAGAGUUAAUAAGGUCAUCUAGAACAAUUUGUAUGUUAGCUUGUGAGAAAUAUUGUCCAUGUCAUCAAGCCACAAUGCAUCAUAAAACAUUUCUAAUGGAGUGUAUCUAAGUUGCCCGAUAGGAGGUGAGGGAAUAUGAAAAGUUGCUCUCUCUUUCCACCUUGGAGCUUGUGCAUGUGUUGUUCAUUAGUCUACAUACAACCUUGCUCUUUUUCUUCAUCAAUUAUCUGCUACAUCAUCAAAGGAUCAACAUGGCAAAUUUACCAACGACCAUAUUACAACUAUUAGAGAGAUCCUAAUUAAGAGAGAGAUGGCCCUUUGUGGGUUAAACUUCAUACAAGGGGUGCACACAAGCCAAGACGGUACUUCCUCCAUUUCAGUUUACAGGUCCGGACUCAAAAACUCAGAAUUCCCAAGUACAAGGUCCAUCUCUCUGUUUUCUCCACCCGAUGUUCCCAAUUUAAUGCAAUGGGAGCACGGGUCAACUGUUUUGGGAAUUACAACCAACAUGUCAUAAGGGAACUGAUCAGCAUAUCUAUGUCUCCAUCGCACAUCGCAGCCGUUCCAUGCAAAAAUAGAUGCCCGAUGGUUGGGCAGGCAUGGCAGUGCGUGCACGCAGGUGUGGGCCUCGCCCGAGAAAAUCUUGGGAGCAAUUAAGGAAUUGGAGAUGAAAGGAUAAGCACAAUUAAAGGACGCGAUUAGUGAUUUUUGCGGAGUCCCAACGUGUGCGUUAGUUGGCCAAAAUCGAACUCGCAUAUCACCUGAAACAGCCAACGCUCAGCCUUCGUUACUGAGUUUUUUGAGUCCCCUGUAAACUGAAAGGGAAGGAGUACUAGAGAGAACUUAGUUUUUUGAGUAUGUAAUAUUGUUACAUACUCCUACAAGCUAUUGGAGUAGAUGUAUGUAGUAGUGUUGGUUAAUGAUGUGGAUGUGCUAACAUACAAACUAUGGGAGAUGCCUCUAAAUAGUGUUAACUUCUCACACCACUUAAGUAUUGAAGUCUAUCCCAGAAUGAAAUAAUGAAUUGCUUAUCAAAGACACAAGAAUAUGUGACAUAACCAAUCUAAAGUUCUGAUUUUCUGGACGCCAAGUCUAAAAUAGAAACAAACAACAUCAGACUUCCCCCGACUAUUACAAUACUAAUAUAAUGAGAUCACCUGGCAUUAGCAUAUAGGAAGAUGGUGCAAUUCAACAGAACAUCAGCUUGUGUACUUUCAGUUUCAGAACCAUCUACAUGAGACACAUAAUUUUGGCCGAGGAUAUUUGUUUGAAUCGGCUGAUUUCCAUAUAUACUUUUAGACGAUGUAACCGUGUAAAAAAAUGUUGUUAACAACUUAAUGGUCACUUCUGAUUUUGAAGAACAGACCCAUAUGUUAUGCCACAGGAAUACGCUUGCAUGCGGAAUGAUCCACAUAAGUGUUUAUUUCUUUAUAUAUCUUCAAUAGUCUGUUCUUAUUUGAAAUUUGAAUUGGAUUGUAUUCCAUUUAAAGAUAGUACAACCACAAGUCUAUAAUGAUCCUGUAAAAGGCGAUAUAAUGGGCUCAGUUAAGAUUUCAAAAGCCCUGCUGCUCAAACGGCAGAUAGGAGUGUUCCGAUACCGUACCCUCCUCUGUGUUCCAUCAAAUGCUGUACUACUUAAAAACUGACAAGUGAGCCCCUCUGUAACAGUAAAUGAGUUGCUUGAAAAUAACAUCUAUUGGUACAAAAUGAAUAUAACUGCACAGCAUUAUACUUGGAUUCUUAUGCAUGUCAAACAUAGACUAUACUAGCCUAUAAAGAUGUAACAAGCCUUGCAUGAUAAGCUAUUAACCAGAAAUGAAAGACCAAGGUGAGGACAUGUAUUUGUUAUAACCCUUCUUUUUUUCUUUCAAGGUUCAAGAAAAAACAUAUGCUUGCGUUGAGCCGUCACAGAUAUACACGUUUCGGGCAGCAUUUCCAUCAAUCCAAGCAGGGAAGCACACACCUUAUCCCUGUAGAGCUGCUUGAGAUGUGCGACGCCCUCGAACCCAUUGUCGACGAGCUUCCUCAGGUUGCGCGGCCCGACUCCAGGAAUGGCGAGGAGCUCCCCGCUCCCCGGCACGGCAUUCCCGCCCCUGAGCCUCCUCUCCGCCGCCGCGCGAGCUCCGGCUCCCAUUCGCUUCUCCUCCUCCGCCUCGCCGUCCUCACGCCUCGCGGGCUGGACGGAGCAGAACAUGCCCCUCCUCGCUCCCCCACCGCCGCAGCGAAGCCACGGCGGCGGGCGCGGGCCCCGGCGGGCGGCGAGGAGCGCGGCGGGGGAGCCGAGGCGGAGGGAGGGCAUGGAGGACGGGAGCAAGAGUGGCGCCGUGGCGAUGGAGGCGGCGUCAAUGAAGGUGGAUGCUGCGGCGGCGGCGGGGAGGAGGGAAAGCCUGUGCAUCUACGGCGGCGGCGGAGGUCAUCAAUGGGUGGGGGUGGGGGGGGGGGGGGGUCCUAGGGUUUGGGGAGGGUUUUGGUUCGGAGUUAUCCCCGUCUGUGAGCUGUGUCGUCGGGAAGCGGGAGGGGAGGAGGCCGAGGCAGCGGUCUUUGUGGACUGUGGGUCUACGGCUCUACGCGGAGUGGUGCACGAUAGCACGAGACUGCGGAGUGGGUCCCCUCUGUGGACCACGGUCCACGGCAUGGGCGACCGGAUUGUUUACGCGCGGAAAAGCGGACUUGUCACCACCCCGUUUCAGGGGCGUGUCGCUGAGACGCUGGCUCGCUCGCUGGAGGCUGGACUCUCUGAAUGCUGGUGCGCACCCAUGCAGGCUUUUCAGCCGGAAAAUGGUCACGUUUUUUUUUUCCACUGGUACACCGGUACUACAGGUGGCCGCUUGCUUUGCCGUGCAAGGCAGCAACGACAUGUCCUGCCUCCACGUCCAGCUGCUAAUCUAAUACUCUCUCCGAUCCUAAAUUGUUGUCGAAAUAUUACAUGCAUCACGUUUUUUAAGAAUAGAUACAUACAUAUUUGAGCAAAUUUGAGUCAAAGAUUUAGGAUCGGAAAGAGCACGUAUUUGCACGUUUAGGAGCUGUUUGGUUGAAGGCCUCAGUGGUGUGCCUGAGCAAAACUGGUGUCUGAGUCUAGCCUGAAAAAUUGUAUAUUUGUGCCUGUAUCAGUCGGUGAGGGAAGUUGAAUUAUUUAUUGCUUAGAUAGAUGUGCACUCAUGCCUGAGCUCAAACCUUUUUUUUUUGGGUCAUGAGCCAGAGAAGCUUUCAGGCAUCAAACAAACAUAUCAUAGGCUACCUUGUGGCUAUGAUCAGGCCAGGCUAGUUGGUCUCAGGACACCAACCAAACAACCCCUUAUUUUUUUAGAGCGUACCCCGUAUUUACAUCCUAUUUUAUACGAUGAUCUGGUUUUAUUGAUCUAGAAACUUUGCUUCAAGAAAAGUAAAAUGGUCAGAAACAACGAUAAUACCGGAAGAUAUGACUCAGUUCUUCGAAAUUGACAUCUCCUGACAAAAUCAACAACAUAACAAAAAAAAACUAAUGACUGCAAAUGUAAUCUUCUGUUUCUCUCGUGUUCCAAAUUUUUGUGCGGCAGAUACCUACACUAAUUAUUACUCCCUGGGUCCCAUCUUAAGUGGCGAAAUGUUACAUGUAUCUAAACGCCUUUAAGGUAUAGAUACAUCAUAUUUGGGCAAAUUUGAGUCACUUAAUAUGGGACGGAGGGAGUACUAUUUUGGACUAUUUUUAGGAAAAAUACUUUCUUCAGUAUGUAUAUAGCAAUAAGCACAAUCAGAUUUCCAUCCGUCAUCAAACAAUGUCUUUUUUCUUAAAAAAUCAAGCAAUGCUCUUCCCUAACAUGCCUUCUCACAAAAAAAAGGGGAUGUGUUUGGUUUAAGAAAGGUACUCUCUCCGAUUCAUAUUAAUUGUCGAAAUAUUACAUGUAUUUAGACGCUUUUUCGGUAUAGAUACAUCCAUAUUUGGACAAAUUUGAGACAAUUAAUAUGGAUCAGAGGGAAUAACGUAAACGUGAAAUGGAAUUGAAAAAAAUACACUGCUAAAUAAAAAAAUGUUUGGUUCAACUUAUGCAACACAAAAAAAACUAAAUCAUCCACUGAACUUAUUAGCUUGUUGUGCGUUGUUGCCUGCGUGAAUAGUGGUUCGGCCUGAUUUUCCAACUGAUGCGCUCCAGCCUAAGUAACCGUCAGCUGGAACAAUUGUGUUGUUCAUUAAUUGAAAUAUGAAACCUCCAAUAUUGGUGAAUAAAAACUAAAUACCUACACUAGUUCUGGCGGACUUACAUGCCGUCGGGAGGGGGGGGGGGGGCUCCGCCCCUCCACUCCAGAAUUAUUUAGUAUUCUCUGAUCUUGCUUUGCAUUUAUAAUUAGUCAUUACUUUAUGUGUUAUCUUUCACCUACUACAAAUACAUUUCUGACCAUUUCCAUUACCACGAGCUGUUUGGUAAUAUGUAUACACACUUGAAAGGCAUGGUAAAAUAUAGUAACAAACAUAAAUUAAGUAAUCAAACCUUCAAUCGUCGUAAUUUGCAUGAAUGGCAAUGAGGAUGUGGAUGCCAACACAAGUACAACCGACUGCCAAGUACACGACAAAAACCACAAAGGCACCUCCACCUGUAUCAUGAAAAUGCACGAGGUGAGCAUGAGGUCACUAGAGGUCACCAAGACUGAAACCACGCUUUGUGAACUGUAGAUAGGCAAACCCACAUCGACACUUUUACCCGUAUCAUGAAAAUGUAUGAGGUGAGCACAAGGGCAGCAGAGGCCACCGAUGCAACAAUGUCAAAACUAUAAAUCAUCAUAUGCUCUUCCUUGGGCUCGCUGGGACAACAUCCUGUUGGGGAGAAACGAAUAAGUUAAAAUAAAUUCAAUAGACCAUAUUUAUCAGCAAUAAAUGUUUAUUUUCAUACCUGCAAGUUGCCAACGGUGUCGAUCCAAUACUUCACAUAGUUUGCAAAAACCACAGUGCAAAAAAAAUUUAGAUAUCAAGAGGUAAGGCUACAGGAGCGGGAUUCUCACGUAAUACCAGAGUCUGGCAACACAGUGGCUGGCAGGGCAGAAAGAUCUAUGUGAUAGCGGCAUCAAGGUCAUCCUAAGUAAUAGGAGAUACUCGUGUCAAAAAACAAAGUAAUAGGAGAUACACUCCAGCCUGGGUAACCACAGCCAUGCCGCUCCUCCCGCUCGCCCCCGCCCGCCGCCCGUGCGCGCCGCCGCUCGCACCCUCGUGAUCCGCCCGCUCGCGUUGCUCCCGCCGACGAUUGACCGGCGCUGCUCACCCCUGCUCCAGCAGCCCCACAGCUCCGCUCGCUCGCAGCCGCUCGUGCCCCUGCUUGCGGGACUCGCCCCGUGUGCCGCCGCUAGACCAACACAGCCGUCGGCGCCUCUUGAGUGGGCUAGCAAGGCGCCUCGGGGGCGGAAUCAGGGGGCUGACAGGGUGCGCCGGAUGCCUGCGUUCUCGACCUCCAGGACAAUCCACGACCUCCAGGACAUCAACAGGAGGUGUCUGGAGGCGACGGUGCAUAGCAGCGGCCGCGUGCGCGUGCGGAGGCGAAGGCAGCGGCUUGUGCGGGGAGGAGCCGCGACGGCGUGCAGAGGAGACGACUCGGUGAGUCAGAUAGCCCACGAGCUAACUUGGCGCCAGCUAGGACCUGACAUGUGGGCCCGUCUUGUCAGUUUUGGGGUUAUUCACUAGUAACCGGAUGCGUAGUGUAAUCCGGUGGUUUUUUGCAAGCAAAACGCAAACCGGCACCAAUGUGAAACCCUAGCCACUAAUGUGGUGGUUUUUUUUAAUUUACUCAUCCUUGUGCGGUGGGACUCUGUUCCACCUCUGCAGCUGCGACGUGCUCUAAAAAAAUCCUCUGCAGCUGCGACGUCAGGCAGGUUGUUGACAAUUUUAGGUGUUAAGAGCAAGGCCAAUGUGGGGUGAGCCAAGAUCGGAAGCUAGCACCGGGUCUAAGAAAACAAAAUCUUGUGCAAUGUACUAGUUUUGCUAGACACCCCAUGCGGGAGCCACAUACCUCCACUUUUCCCAUCUCUCUCCUUUUUCAACUCGUCUUCUCCAAAAUCCUCCUCUGGGCUUUGGCCUCCGCCCUCCACCUCCAGUCCUUCUCUUCGUCUUCCUCAUCCAAUCCGCCACCUCUGGUUACAAAUUUUUAUCCUGGCCCCAGCCCUCUCUUCCUCCUCCAACUCCGCCACCGGCACCUCAACUCCUCCUCCCACUGCCACCACGAGGCCCAAGUUCCCCUCCUCAUCAAGCAUGCCCACCUUGCCGGCCAACAACACGAGGACCACAGCUGGCGACGCGAGAGGACCAUGGAGGGAUGGCAUUUCUGGCCGGCACGCUGGAGGAUGGCCGCCGUCUGUGGUCGACGCGGCCGAGGACGCUGCUGGUGAGGUGCAGAUCAGCGAGGCGGAGGACGCCGUCAGGGGUGGGAUGGCAUGGGUGGGGUGCCAGUGUGGAGCCCACAAUUGUCAAUGCUCAGUUGGAGUCGACGCAAGUACUUGAGCCGGGUCUAAGAAUUUUUUCUUAGCACUGCUACCUGCAAUGUUUAGACUCGGGUCUAAAUGGAGUUAGCCCCUUCUUAGCUAUGGGUGUUGACCAACAUUGCACAUGCUCUAAGGACAGACCUGCAGGUGCCGCCAAAGAAUAGAACAAGCACCACCACUCGCAACUCCAUUUUCAAGAGGAGGAAAUCUCCGGAAGUAGAUAUGUACAAGCAACGAACUAACCCACCAACACUCGAUUCUGCACAUUGGCAAACAACAUUAUCCUGCCAUAAAUUAAUUCGGUCAGCGGACACCUCACGGCCUGAUGAUCUGAUUAUUCCCCCCAAACAUUGCAACACAACAAGAGGGCUUUAUUCGGAACGGAUGGCAUCCAUGUCAGUCACAACAGAUCAAGUUAUGAUCAUAGGGCAGGUCGGCAGGCAAAGCAGCGAUGGAUUGAUCGGAUACUGUUUUCUGGCAAGCGUUCAUUAAAGAUGGGCGUUGAAAAAUGAUCCGAAUCCGUUACCGCUAGACGUAGCAGCAUAGGUUUGGGCUUUAUGUUGGUAUACGAGUUGAACUCAUUUUUCUUGUCCUACUAGAACUCAUGUUUAUUGUCCGUUAUAUAUACUUCAUGUAGUCGGAUCUAAAGACGGCCUGUCGUUUCGUGUUUGUAAUACUUUAACAUAGUGAAGUUGCGCGUUCGUCCGUGAUUUUUUCCGCGAGUGUUUCAACGUUAAGAUUCGUGUCUCAGAACCACGUUAUUGCGAUUAAAAUUACGAGACACUCUCGGCCAGUCCGUACAGAAAGUUCGUUCCGCCGAGGCCGACGGGACUUUUCCCGUUCCGCUGCACUUCGUCGAACUGAAGGCGCGUCAGCAGUUUUUGUCUUCUAUUCGGUUUCGGGAGGCAGACGCGCGUUUAAUACAGGGAGCAGCAGCAAGCAACCGCGACCGCGCAACGCGAAGCAUCAAACCGGUCCGAAGCAGAAGCCUCAGGCGGCGCAGAGCACGUACAGAAGCAGGCAAAUCGAUCUAGAGGAAAUCGAUCGAGUGCAAUCCUUCGAGGCGUUUUUUUCUCACCUGCUGCUGCUGACCAACAGUUCUUUUGAUCUAAUUUGAUAAGUCCACACACGAAGUCUACCAGGUGCUAUCAAUUCAAGUUUUCUCCGCAAUUUCCAGCUCGUACUACUUUGUGCACACAUUUUAGUCUACCCAAAGUUACCAUGAAGUACGAUCUUCUGCUGCUGGAUCGUGACACAAGGUUUUCCCUAUGGCAAGUCAAGAUGCGGGCGUUAUUGGCGCAAGCUGAUUAUGAUGAUGCACGAGCCACCGUUGUUAGCAAACAAGAUUCUGAUGGUGAUGUUCUCAUUGUCGUUACCGGUGAUUCCAAAAUGAGAGAUGUUUGGGUUCUUGAUACAACAUGUACUUUUCACAUGACUCCACACCGGGAGUGGCUUGCAACGUAUGAAGCGAGGCCAAAUGGUUCUGUGUUUAUGGGCGAUGAUUCGCCGUGCAAGAUUGCAGACAUUGGCACCGUUCAAAUCAAGAUGUUUGAUGGCACUAUUAGAAUUUUAUUGGAUGUUCGCCACAUUUCGAGUUUGAAGAAAAAUCUUAUUUCUUUGAGUACUCUUGAUAAUAAAGGGUACAAGUAUUCAGAUGGAAAUGAAAUCGUUAAGGUCACAAAAGAUUCUCUUAUUGUGAUGAAAGGUGAUAUGAAGGCUGCAAACCUUUACCGCCUUCGAGGUACGACAAUUAUCGGUAAUACUGAUAUGAUUACAAAGCCAGUUUCUGUCAAUAAGUUUGAGCUUUGCUCAGUCUUAAUUGGUAUUACUCACUAGUCCUGUGGAUGUUGACGCGCAAGAUGUUUAUACUCAUUUGUUUGGAGGUGUUUAUUUUCUUCGACUAUGGAAGGGAUUCGGCUCAAUGUGGAGAUUGUUGAAAAGUGAUCCAAAUACGUUACCAACUCUGUUAGACGUAGCAGGAUAGGUUUGGGCUUUGUGUUGGUAUACGAGUUGAACUCGUUUUCCUUAUCCUACUAAGACUCAUGUUUAUUGUCCGUUAUAUAUAUCUCAUGUGUCGUCUCGUACUCGUAAUACUCCAACAUAAUGAAGUUUUAAUCUCUAUUCGCGUAACAAUGGGGUUUCCAUGCAUUUGCUGCCUCCGCUGCGGAGUACUACCUACCUACUAAUAGUGGCUCACAGCCGGAACAGCCUUGGCUAAUUAAUACCGGUUUGUUCAUUUGACUCGUCACCAGCUGCUCGUGUGCCUACCUCCUCCCUUCGUUUGCAGCCGGAUGGGAUCGAUGUGACGGAUGAGGGUGCACUUGUCUGGCUCGCUGUCCGUGCUGCAGUUCGCACAUACGAUGGCUGCUUCUUUGGCCACAUUUAUUACGAGACGAGAGCUUGUGUCGUGGGACUGAUCCCAAUUUUAAUAAAUUCUGGAAAAAUUUAAAGUCCCCACUUCAUGAAGUAGGACGAGGGAAGUGGGAAGAGAAUAGUUCCACCUUGCUAGUUUAGACUGAGUGAGACCAACAUAUAAAGGAUGUUGCUUCUCACCUAUUGAGCAAGUGAAAUCCCCACGCGCGCUCCUCCUCUUCUCGCCUCGUCACGACGCGCGCGCGCCGCGUUUCGUGGAUCGAAUACAAGUUCGUGCUGGGCCGGUGCGGGGCCUCUUAUCUUUCUGUCACGCGCGUGAGUUAUUUUCGAAUCUGUUACGGAAGCGUGCAGAUUUUGUGAAGUCGGUUCAGUUUAUACAUGCGUGACUAUAUAUACAGCCGCCCGUCCCUCCGAUCGGGAAAAACACACAACCGCGUUAGGGUUUCGCCUGUCUCUCGCUUUUGCGCCGUAGUCGUAGUCUACUCCAUCCCGAACGCCGGUGUGCACCAGCGAUCGGGAGAGCAAGUCUCCGGAACCUUUCGCCUUUGCGAUCCUGUACGGGAGAGGGCGAAUAAGGUUUUUGGGAAGCGCUCCGCGUGACUGCUCACUUCCCUGCAACCACGGGUCGUCUGCCUUCUCGAUCCGGCGGGUGAGCGACGCGCCGCCGUCUUCUUCGUCAACAAAUUCGUCAAGCGAACGUAACAGCAACGGCUUCUUCUCCACCACAACAGUACGUACAUUGUGAUUCGAUCUGUUGUUUAGUUAUGAUCUGCGAGUUCACAUUGCUGUUCAUUGGGUUGUUUAAUACUUCUAAUAUUUUCGAGAUGCGUCUGCUAGUUGCUAUUGUCGUCAUGAUCUAUAUUCUGAAAUUAUUCAUUGAAUUGUUAUUCUCAAAAUUGCUUAAUUAUCCAACUAUCCAAAAACCUUAUUGUAGGCAAUUUCCUGAUUUAAUUAUGGGUUUAGCCGAUGCAUUGAAGCCGGAUAAAUUUUCCGGAAUGUACUUCAAGAUAUGGCAAUUAAAGGCCAUGCUAUGGUUGCAGACUCUGAAAAUAUUCUGAGUGACAGACGGACAACCAGAGGGAGAUUUAUCUGAGGAAACUCAGAAAAAUCUCCAGGAUGCCAAUGUUGCCUUUAGAGGAUGCAUUCUGAGUGUUCUUUCUGACCGUCUUUGUGAUGUGUAUAUGCACAUAGAAGACGGGAAGGAGCCGUGGGAUGCACUGAAUGCUAAAUUCGGUGCAACCGAUGCAGGCAGUGAACUGUAUACCAUGGAGUCGUUGAACGACUACAAGAUGGUGGAUAACCGUUAUGUAGUUGAACAGGCACAUGAGAUACAGAUCAUUGUGAGAGAGCUCAAGCUUCUCAAAUGUGAAUUGCCCAACAAGUACGUAGCUGGGUGCAUUAUGGCAAAGUUACCUCCUGCAUGGAGGAGCUUCGCCACAUCUUUGAAACACAAGAGACAUGAGAUAUCAGUUGAACAACUGAUAGUGUCCCUUGAUGUUGAAGAGAAAGCUCGGGCUAAGGACACCAUUGAGAAGGCUGCUGAUAUUCCGUCUAACGCCAAUAUGGUACAGAUGAAUUUUCGCGGCAACAGAAAGAACAAAGCGAAGAAGUCCGCUGUUGUUAACAACAACAAGCCUGCCAGACUACUACCUUCAAGAAGAAAAAGAAAGUAAACAAAUGCGAGAUGAAUUGUUUCACCUGUGGAGAGCUCGGCCACUUUUCCAGAGUCUGUCCUGAUCGUGCAGACCGAAGAGGGAAAAAGGGACAGAAGACUAUCAACGUCGUGACCGCUAGCGACACUGACACGUACGGUAUUUCUACUGUACUUUCAGUGUUUCAAUCUCCAUGUUGGUGGAUUGAUACGGGUGCUAAUGUUCAUGUAUGUUCCGACAUCUCUUUGUUUAUUUCUUACCAGCAUGGAAGGGAUUCAACCGUCUUGAUGGGGAACGGGUUGCAUGCAGUUGUUCGUGGUGUUGGUACGGUCGAUCUGAAGUUUACUUCGGGGAAGAUCGUACGGCUAAGGAACGUGAUGCAUGUCCCCUCCAUGAACAAGAAUCUCGUUAGCGGUUUCCUUUUUAUACAGAGAUGGUUUUAAGGUAGUUUUAGAGUCUAAUAAAAUGGUUGUGUUCAAACAUGGACAAUUUAUUGGUAAAGGCUAUGAGUGCGGAGGCUUGUUCUGUUUUUCCCUUUCUGAUUUUAGUGACAUGCCAAUGAAUCAUAUUUGUGACAGUGUUAAUGAUGAUGCAAGUGUUUGACACUCUCGUUUAUGUCAUGUUAAUUUUGGUUUAAUGUCUCGGCUAUUCACUAUGAGUUUAAUUCUUACUUUCACCAUUGCCAAAGGUUCUAAGUGCUAUAGUUGUGUGCAAUCAAAGCAACCUCGAAAGCCCCACACGGCGGCCGAGGAGAGAAAUCUGGCACCUCUAGAACUCAUACAUUCUGAUCUUUGUGAGAUGAAUGGUGUGUUGACAAAAGGUGGAAAGAGAUAUUUCAUGACGUUAAUUGAUGAUGCUACUAGAUUCUGCUAUUUUUAUUUGUUGCGAACUAAAGAUGAGGCUUUAUACUACUUUAAAAUAUAUAAGGCCGAAGUUGAAAAUCAAUUGGAGAGAAAGAUCAAACGUUUUAGGUCGGAUCUAGUGGCUAGUAUUUUUCCAAUGUAUUUGAUGAUUUUUGUGCGGACCGUGGUAUUACUCAUGAGAGGACACCUCCCUAUUCUCCCCAAUCAAACGGGGUCGGCAAGAGGAAAAACCGCAUGCUGACUAACUUGGUGAAUUCCAUGUUAGACACUGCCGGUUUAUCUAAGGCAUGGUGGGGGGAGGCAGUACUGACUUCAUGUCAUGUCCUGAAUAAAGUUCCAAACAAAAAUAAAGAGAAGAUUCCCUACGAGGAGUGGAUUGGAAGAAAGCCAUCAUUUUCUUACUUGCGCACUUGGGGAUGUUUGGCUAAAGUCAACGUUCCAAUUCGCAAGAAACGCAAGCUCGGACCGAAGACAGUGGAUCGUAUCUUUCUAGGCUAUGCUCAGCGGAGCGUGUGCUAUAGAUUUUUUGUAGUUAAAUCCGAGGUACCUGAUAUGGAAUCUCGUGAUGCAACAUUUUUUUUAGAACAUUUUUCCUAUGAAAGAUAUGCAUAGCAUUGCUAGAGUUUCUUCUGAAAUAUUACCUGAGUCUAGCAUACCUGAAUCUAAUACAUCUGAUAAUGAAUCUGAACAUCCUGAGGAUGAUGUUGAGAAGGAUGACAAUGAAGCUCCUUCCAAGAGUAAGAGACGAAGGAUUGCAAAAUCCUUCGGUAAUGACUUCAUUGUGUACCUUAUGGAGGAUACUUCCAAAACCAUUUCAGAGGCAUAUGCAUCUCCGGAUGCAGAUGACUGGAAAGAAGCUGUCCAGAGCGAGAUGGACUCCAUUCUUUCUAAUGGGACUUGGGAGCUAUUUGAACGACCCCACGGUUGUAAGCCAGUAGGCUGCAAGUGGGUUUUCAAGAAGAAGCUAAUGCCUGACGGUACUAUUGAUAAGUAUAAGGCAUGGCUUGUGGCAAAAGGCUACACUCAGAAAGAAGACGAAGAUUACUUCGACACCUAUUCACCCGUUGCUAGAUUUACUACCAUUUGAGUACUACUAUCCCUGGCUGCCUCCUAUGGUCUUGUCGUUCAUCAAAUGGACGUAAAGACAGCUUUUCUUAAUGGAGAGUUGGAAGAGAAAAUUUACAUGGAACAACCAGAUGGAUUUGUGGUAAAGGGUGAAGAGAGAAAGGUGCACAAGUUACUAAAAUCUUUGCAUGGACUAAAACAAGCACCUAAGCAAUGGCACGAGAAGUUUGACAAAACUUUAACUUCUGCAGGCUUUGUCAUUAAUGAGGCUGAUAGAUGUGUGUACUAUCGCCAUGGUAGGGGCGAAGGUGUUAUUUUGUGUUUGUACGUGGAUGAUAUUCUGAUUUUUGGUACAAACAUAAAAGUGAUAAAUGAGGUCAAGUCGUUUCUGUCAAAUUGCUUUGAUAUGAAAGAUCUGGGAGAGGCUGAUGUUAUUCUUGACAUUAAGCUGGUUAAAGAUGAGAGUGGAAUUACUUUGUUGCAAUCCCACUAUGUUGAGAAAGCUUUGAGUCACUUCGGUUUUACUGACAGCAAACCUUCACCACCAACACCGUAUGACCCCAGCGUGAUACUCAGAAAGAACAAUGGAGAAGGAAAAGAUCAAUUGAGAUACUCUCAAAUAAUCGGUUCCCUUAUGUACUUAGCUAUCGCUACGAGGCCUGCUAUCUCUUUUGCUAUGAGCAAAUUGAGUAGGUUCACGUCAAACCCGGGUAUAGAUCAUUGGCGUGCACUAGAAAGGAUAUUGCGCUAUCUAAAAGGUAUGAUGAGUUAUGGAAUACAUUAUUCAUGGCAUCCAGUUGUGCUUGAGGGAUAUUGUGAUUCGAACUGGAUCUCUGAAGCAGAUGCCACAACCGGAUAUGCCUUCAUACUUGGUGGUGGUGUAGUAUCAUGGAGAUCUUGCAAACAGACCAUAUUGAUGAGGUCAACUAUGGAAGCAUAGCUUGAUGCUUUAGAUACAACCACCUUUGAGGCAGAGUGGUUGAGAGAUGUUUUGAUGAAUUUGCCGGUUGUUGAAAAACCAGUGCCGGCUAUUCUGAUGAACUGUGAUAAUCAAAUGGUUAUUACUAAAGUAAAUAGUUCAAAGGAUAACGCGAAGUCAUCAAAACACAUGAGGAGACGUGUGCAGUCUGUCAGGAAAUUGAAAACUCCGGAGUCAUAACUGUUACAUAUAUUCAAAUAGAGAAAAACCUGGCAGAUCCCUUUACCAAGGGGCUAUCAGGUAAUGUGAUAGAGAGUGCAUCGAGGUAGAUGGGGUUGAGACCCAUGAAUGUUGUGCCAUAGUGGUAACCCAACCUAUGUGAUCAGAGAUCCCGUGAAGUAGGACCUGGGAAAUGAAGCUAUCGGUAUAACAUAGAGGAGUAUGUUAUAACCCUCUAUAUGUGAAGAUGCGCGACUCUCAAAUUGCUGUAAGGCUGGUUAGCGACAUGACUUAAUGUGUUCAUUGCGGAUAUGAGUAGCGAAAGAUACUGUCCUACAGAGUAUUCUUGAAAGAACACACCUAUAUGAGUUCGACUGUCUAACGUAGCAGUCUAUGAGAUUUGGGUGAUCUCUAAUAACUCAUGAAGAGAGACCAUGGAGUAUGACGCAUAUGCUCCACCAGUGGGGUAGACUACUAAUAGCCCAGUACUGGUUGACUUUGAGUGAAAUCUAUUUCACACCAGCUUGCAAUUCAAGAUUUAGUCCAUUGUGAGUAUGGAUGGAUGUAACUUAAAGUUCUAGGCAAAAGUUCAACUUAACAGUCUCUGCUGAAACACUAGUAUAUAAACAAGUAGUGAGAACAGGUAAAUCUCUAAAUGGGUAUUUGAGAUCUGGUGGGGGAUUGUUAGAAUUUGUGUUGUGGGCCUGAUCAGGCCAAGCCCAAUUUUAAUAAAUUCUGAAAAAUCUCAAAGGCCCAUUCAUGAAGUGGGAUGAGGGGAGUGGGAAGGGAAUAGUCCCACAUUGCUAGUUUAGAGUGAGUGAGACCAACAUAUAAGGUAUGUUGGUUCUCACCUAUUGAGCAAGUGAGCAAGAGAAAUUCCCACGCGCGCUCCUCCUCCUCCUCCUCUUCUCGCCUCGUCACGACGCGCGCGCGCGCGCCGCGUUUCAGAUUUUGUGGAGAUGGUUCAGAUUUUCUAAACUGAACCGACCUAUACUUGUGUGACUAUAUAUACAGCCGCCCGUCCCUCUGAUCGAAAAAACACAACCGCGCUAGGGUUUUGCCUGUCUCUCGCUUUUGCGCCGUCGUCGUAGUCUACUCCAUCCCGAGCGCCGACGUGCACCAGCGAUCGGGAGAGCAGGUCUCCGGAACCUUUCGCCUUUGCGAUCCUGUACGGGAGAGGGCGAAUAAGGUUUUUGGGAAGCGCUCCGCGGGAUUGCUCACUUCCCUGCAGUCACGGGUCGUCUGCCUUCUCGAUCCGGCUGGUGCACGACGUGCCGCCGUCUUCUUCGUCAACAAAUUCGUCAAGCGAACGUAACAGCAACGACUUCUUCUCUCCCGCAGCAAUAUGUACAUUGUGAUUCGAUCUGUUGUUUAGUUAUGAUCUGCGAGUUCAUAUUGUUGUUUAUUGGGCUGUUUAAUACUUCUAGUAUUUUGAAGAUGCGUCUGCUAGUUGCUACUGUCGUCAUGAUCUAUAUUCUGAAAUUAUUUUAUUCUCCAAAUUGAUUAAUUAUCCAACAGUUAGUUCGGUGCUGGAAACUGUUCGACGGUCGUGGCAGCAAACUGCGGCGGAUCAGUACUUCUCCUGCGUGUGCCAGUUUAACUCUCCCUGCAAGGAUCGUUUUUAUAGUGUGCGUGUUGUUAGGUACGCCCUGCAAGAAACCGACCUAUACCUGUGUUAGCUAUUCAGCAGAAAGGCAAGCUGACAUGUAUUUUGUAGCUACAUGCCUACACCCAAACUGUGGCAACACGUCGACUCAAUCCUUUGCACGAGAUAAGCUCUUCCAGCAGACCAGCAAGUUGCGAGGCUUCACCGUGGAACAACUUCCUAGUUCCUACCGCAGACUUUCUAUUCCUGCCGCCAUAGCUUUCGCCGGAGAUGCUCCCCGGGCAUCCAAUCCUCCCAGUUCCCCCCCUCUUUCUCGUUCAGUACAUUAUCGAGGAUCCCAACCGCUGACUCCCUUUACGUAUCAUUUUCGUUGCUGUCGGGUUCAUUCCAUCUACUUGCCCAGGCGAGUAGCCUCCGAGAGCCGGCUCCCGUCCCGUCCAUGUCUUGCCGAGACCGCCUACGAGCAAAAACGCGGUGUUUUCUUCCGAUUUGACUCACUUCAGGCCACUUUUGGCACGGGCGAUCCGCAACGCGGUCGGCUUGGACACGACCGAGUCCUUCAAGUUUGAGCGAUUCUCAUUUUGUCACAGUGCCAAGGUAGUGUAUAGCUCAACGUCUCUGACUGAGUACUUGGAAAUUUGGACGAGUUGACAUAAGCACAAAACCCAAUUAAUACUCGUAGUUUACUUUCUUCUUCUGCACAACAAGUCGGCAGGCACAGACGUUCUGUCCCGUGGUCUCGGCAGCUUAUCAUUUCGUUGACUCACGAAGAUGCAAGGUUGACAAUUUUCCUUAGUUUUGUACUGUACUUUUGUUGCUAUCAAUUAAUUUGACGCAUUUGACAUUUUGACCACUAAAUCGAACGCACAACAUGCAUGCAAUGCACAGUACAUGCAAACUGUAUGUUGCUCUUUUUAGUUCCUGCGCCCACAGCUGGCUACUGGUUGGUCGACAGAACAGUAGUCGUUACAAAUUUUCGACUAUGUGUUCUCUCUUCUCUCCAUAUACUAGUCUUUGUUCUCUUUUCUUUCCUAUUGGAUAUACAUUACACUCUCUUCUCAUUCUUGGUACCAGUGGACAGGUCUUUUACUUCUCCAUGCUGCAAGCAAUUACAUGUCACAUCAUCAUAUCUCCUCUCUUCUCCACAUAGUACUAGAAACUGCUUAGUAAGCAUUUAUUGGAGAUAACCUUAGAACGUUAUUUGGGUGUAACUGUGAAGCAACAUGCACAGAUAUCAGCGCGUUCUCGCCAUUGGCAACAACUUGGCCUUACAUGGUCUCAGAGAAAAGAAAACGAGCAGCAAAAUCAUUAAAAAAGUGUAUGAACAUGUCAAAAUAAAUCACACAGGUAAGUGACAAUGUCCUCUAAGUUCCUCUAUAGUUUCAGUGAAAACAGAGUUUCUAAGAAAAAAUGGUACUAAAAAACUAACAUCUAUGAACUAAAUUUUCCUGUUUUUUAGCUAAAAGUGUAAAAUUUAUUUUUUAUACACUAAAUUCCACAAGUACACAUUUUCAGAAUUUGUUGACAUUUUAAAAAAAAAUCAGCCAAGGGCACGCGGUCCUAGUGGGCAUGCGAGUUUCCUGGGGUCUCGUCUAUGUCUGUCAUACCAUUUGUUACACUAGCGGUUAGGGGUGGGCGUAAAAAACCGAAACCGAAUUAGCCGAAACCGAAUUAACCGAUAAUAAUUUCGGUUGCUGAGUGUGAUUAACCGAAUUUAAUUCGGUGAAUUCGGUUAUUAACCUCGGUUAACCGAAUAAACCAAAUUAAUGAUAAAUAGUCGAAAACAUACGUCGUUACGCACCUAUAUCUAUUUUAUUAUAUAUUUUGUAUGAAGUGUUUCUGAACUUUGGUGUACAUUCAAGGCUACGCGACCUUUGGUUAUGUCAAAGUUUCUUUGUUUGAGACUUCAAGCCAUAUAUAUGUUGGAAGUUCUGAUAAAAUUUAUGACUCGAUGUUGUCUAUUUCCCUGUCAGUUCAUAAGUUCGGUUAUAUCGGUUUAAACCGAAACCGAUCCGAAACUUAUGGUUAACCGAAUUCUCGGUUAGCUGAAAAACCGAGCAUAUUUCGGUUGACAUUUCUCGUUAACCGAAUUUCUGAAAAACCGAACCGACUUCUCGGUUAAAACCGAACACCCACCCCUACUAGCAGUUCUACAAUACUACCACGGCCUCUUGAAUAUUAGGGGUUCUAAAAAUCAUGUUACAUUUCCCUAUCUUUGAUUUAUAUUUAUAAAGGUAUAUUAAUUUUUAAUUUUGUACAAUGAUUUUUACAGAUUUUUCACGGAAAAGAUUGUUUUCACUUGAUGCACCGCCUUUCAGAUGGUUUUCACUUCUAAACAUGGUCUUCAGGAAGUUUGCACAUUUUGCAACUUAUAUGUGGUUUCCACAUGAUAUUUUCCCCAUGACUUACAAGUACUUAUCUGGUGAAAACCAUCUUUAUAGUGGGAAGUGGGCGGAAACCAUUAUAAAAAUGAGAAAAACAAAAAAAUUGCGUAUGUUAGGAAAGUGUUGUUUCAGAUGUGUGUAAAAUUAUAAGUCCAAACUCAAUCUCGUUGUAGCAGUGAAGAAACAAAUUCAACACGAAUAGUGGUUCUGCACUAUUUGACAAUAUUCACUUGUAUAUUUCUCUCUUUUAUUCCUUCGGAACGUAAUUGAGUUUUGACUUUAAAUUUUGCGUGUCUGUGGAACAUCACAUCGCAACAUAUGAUUUUUUUUUUGGAAUCUAUUUGAAACUUCUAAACAUGAUUUUUACGAAAUUUGCACUGUAAGGAUAGUUUUCAUCUGAUAUUUUCUCUAUGACUUACAUACAGAAAUUUGAUUUAAAUUUCCACCGUAAGGGUGGUGUGCUAAUUAGGUGGCUAAGAUUUGCAAAAAGAAAUUAAAACAACUGAAAAUUAGCGAAGCUACACGAGUUGAUAAAAUUGAGCCAAGAAUAGAUAAGAAAAUGUAUUGGAGUUUGGUCGGACCCGACCCAAUAAGACCAAAGUAGUUCCCAACGAAAAGGGAAGCUGCACCUUUCUCAUCUCUCAUAGCAUGUUAGUUUUGACCGAGGACAGCUUUACUCGAUUCUUUAUCCGAGUCGAGCCACCGAAGCUAGUACCAAACUCGACCUAAACUCGUAACCAGAAUACCAGAUACACACCACCUAAUCAAGUCCUAAAUAAUUGCGUCCUUCUAGAGGAUUAGGAUGGUAUAUAUGCAACUACAGCUCAGAAAGCUUAAAAAAAGUUAGCUUAUCAGCCGGUGGUUGUUCCGCUUGCCGCAGCUUUGGGUCGGGCACUCUGCUCUUCAAUUCAGGUUCGCGCAGCUUUAGGUGGGGUGGAAUUGAUAAAGCUGGUUCAGGCAGUAUUUACUUGUUGCUCGAACUGAAUGUACGUGCUUCAACUUUGUGAGAAUCAGGAUUAGUUUGUGGUCGUUGAAAGAAAGCAAUGGUGGAAUAAAAAACAGUACGUUGGUAAAGUUUAUUAAAAAAAAAUACUCUUUCCAAUCCCAGCAGGAAUCUAAGCUCAUUUCCACCUAUCAUGCCAAAAAAAGUUAAUCAGAUAAGAAUGGCUCAUCUUAAUUCCACGCGGAACCCCCAGCGAGCUUCAGUGGAAAUUGGAAGCUUCUUGUCUUGCACCGUUUUGAGAAAUUCAGUCAUGGCUUUGAGAAAAAAAAAAGGCGUUUUUUGUUGUUGGAUAGUACUUGUAGUACAAAAGGGGGUUUUCGCUCCAUGGACCAUGAUAUGCUCUUGCCUGCCAGUCAAUGGCCCUCUGUCUUUCCAUCCAUCCAAUCCAGGAGGGUACCAACUUCUACCAAUCUUUAGCUCUUAAAAGACGAGCAUCCAUCCAACCGUAACCGCACCUUGCAGCGACGUCCGCGAUCUGAUUUAAAAUCCUUGGCAGAAGAAGAAAGUAAACCGUAGCUACCUACCAAAACCGCCCACAAGUAUCAUCAGUAUGGCACUAAACACGGGGGCUCCACCGCCGCAACCGCACCGCACAAACCACCACCCAACCCGACCCACCCGACCCACCCGACCCGUCAAACUCACUACAUGCCGCCGAGUCAAUGGGGAGGGAGUACCUAGCACGCGCGCCAUAUAUACCGCUCCGCCGCCUCGGCUCUGCUCUGCUCUGCCCGUGUUCAAGAAGAACAAAACAGAGGAGGAGCUGAGCUGAUCUGCGCUACUACUAGCUAGGUAGAGCCGGAAAAGGGCCAUAUGGGGCGGUCGCCGUGCUGCGAGAAGGAGCACACGAAUAAGGGGGCGUGGACCAAGGAGGAGGACCAGCGGCUGAUCGCGUACAUCAGGGCCCACGGGGAAGGGUGCUGGCGGUCGCUGCCCAAGGCGGCCGGCUUGCUCCGCUGCGGCAAGAGCUGCCGCCUCCGCUGGAUGAACUACCUCAGGCCCGACCUCAAGCGCGGCAACUUCUCCGACCACGAGGACGAGCUCAUCAUCCGCCUUCACGGCCUCCUCGGCAACAAGUAAGCAGUUGCUCACCGGAUCCACAUAAUACAACCGUUGCUCGUCUCUCAACUUGCUGACGAUCGAGGGGAUUAAUUGUUCGAUUCGAUGUUGAACUUGAAGGUGGUCUCUGAUCGCGGGGCAGCUGCCGGGCAGGACGGACAACGAGAUCAAGAACUACUGGAACACGCACAUCAAGCGCAAAUUACUCUCCCGCGGCAUGAACCCGCGGACGCACCGCCCGCUCACGACGCCCACCACGGCGCCGCUGCAGCCCGCGGCGAUGCUCGCCCUCGCGAGGCCGCCGCAGGCCGAGUCUUCCUCCGACGGCGGAAGCAGCGGCACGGGGGAGCCGCCGCGGUGCCCCGACCUCAACCUCGACCUGUCCGUCGGCCCGCCGGCGGCGGACACCGAGUCGACGACGACCUCGCAGGUCUGCCUCUGCUACCACCUCGGCUUCCGCGGCGGCGAGGCGUGCAGCUGCCGCCUGCAUCAGGCCGAUGACGACACCUCAUCGGGGUUUAGAUAUUUCAGGCCCUUGGAACAAGGCCAGUACAUAUGAGACGACGAUGACAUGGCCAAAGACUCUCUCUCUCCCACAGCAAUUUGUAAGACGGGGAAUUUUUUUCCAGUGGAGUAAAAGAAAUCUAAUCUGUUCAUAUAUCGUCUUUUCCCUUCGCCCGAAAUUCAUGUUCCAUUUCUAUUAUUGGUUGGUGCUAUUCGGUUAAAGGAAGGGAUAAUGUGAGUACGUGACAAAGGUUGGUGUGGAGAGGGUAUUAUUGUUUCUGGCAUCCGAUUCUGGCGUUCCUUUCAGUUUUGGUCAUGUGGAUAUUGUGCAAAGACCGUCAUGUGGUGUGUUUUUUGGUUGGUACUGCUAGUCUAUGUUUGCACUCCACGAAUUCUUGGAGCUAUUUCAAAUAGCAGGUAGUUAGGCACUGUGCAGAGGAACUCGUAUGGGCAAACUAUCCUAUAAGGUUCUAUUUCCAGGUUUGGUACCGUUGAAACCGCGUCAUCUCUUUUUUGUUUUCACAGAAGAGUAAGCAAAAUGUCAGUAGGUGAGGGAAUCAUCCGACAUCUUUCAGUGUGAGCAGAUGAGUGGUGAAAGCAGCUGGCAAGGAGGAAGAAGGGGAAGGGGGAGAAGGAAGAAAGAGAAGAAGGAAAACAAGGGAAAGGAUGCAUCCGACCCCAACAACGAUGGUCGCCGGGAGGUUGAUGGCGCUAGCAGGUAAUGAGCUCUUCCCUGAGCUUAAGAGAAAGGCUUCAUCAGGACGCAACGAUGCCCUGGCUUGACGCCCGUCAGAUCGAGGAUGAAGUGUGUGAAGAUGGGGAUGGCAGCGAUGCAGCAUCAAGUUCAAGAGGGGGUGGGGUGUGUGGACGAGAGAGAGAGAGGCCUGUGAGUAAGGAAACAGGGUGCGGACAAUGUGCCCUGGUCUUACUGUGUUUGCAAAUAAACUUCUUUCCGAGAGGUGCAAAUGGAUUUUCUAUAAGAAUUCAAACAAAUCAUUUCAUAGAAUUUAGUGUGCAAGCUAGUAAGAGAUUGUUUUCAAAACAAGUUCACCAAAUCUGAUUUUGUAUGUAGUGGAGGUGAGUGAGAAAUUGAGUAAGCAUUUGUCCUGCGUUUAGUAGGCUGUGAUCGGAUUUAAGGCCAUGCUAUAGGCUAUGGCUCGUCUUUUUUGUUUCACUUUGCUAGGCUCCAAAAUUUGCCAAAUUCUGCAUCUUGUUCAACCACACACACUUGCGUGUUCAAAGUUCUCAAGUCGCACAUUUCUUCUAUUGUGUGCCAAAUAUAUAAGUGUGGUUAUCAAGCCUUGUCCUUUACAUUUCCCGCAAAAGAAAAGGAACAACCCUAGGUGUCGGUUGUUUGACAUUUUCAUCUCAUUCAUCAUCUUCCUUACCAUCCAAUCUAUUUAAAAAGUUAAAUCUCGUCAAUCCAACCGCUACAACGUCAAACUCUUGUAUGUGAUAUUUUCUUGAACUUUUGUAAUAUCCUUACAAUAUCAAUCUAUUAAAAAUGCACAAAAACCUUCCAACGUCGUAGGAGCCAUGCCCAUGCAAAACAUUGUGCCUAUGCAAUCAAUGGCGGAUCCACCAAUAUGGCAAGCUAUGGCUUGAGCCACACCUAAACACAUUUUGCAUAGUAUGUAUGUGUAUUUGUGUAUACAUUAAUCAAUUUAGAUAGUAUUUGUUGAUUCUGCUACACCUGAUUUUUCUUUCUACGUCCGCUACUGUAUGCAAUAAAACCGCAGUUCUUGCAACGACAAAUAAAAUAUAGGCAGCAAGAUUGAUUGCACCAUGAAAACAACCCCUUGUAGCACACUUAGAAUUGUUGCAAGGUACUGCUCAUGUGUGCAGCAAAUGAAAGACAUGUUUGCAGCGUGCUAAAACAACUGAUGCGACAUCUAAAAUAUCUGGAUAAACUGACCUCCCAUCAUCAAUACUGAAGGUGUGGACUAUCGCUGGUUUGAAUUUGAGCCCCAACGGCAGAUGGAAAACUAGUUGAUCGGUCGAUUUGGAUUGUUUCCCAGAAAAACGUUAGCCUUCACAAAUGACAUCCGAAUAUACUCACUUCACGUCAUAAACUGAACAGGAAUGCGAAGGUUCCUUGUGGUGGAACCAGCCCACUCAGGUUCAAGUCUCAGACUUGAUAUGGGUGCUCGCAUUUCACUAGAUUUAUUCCAGAAUUUAACCAGCGUUGUACUUUCAGUGGGAGUGACGUACCCAUCAACUACGAGUCAUCUGUAGUGAUUUCGUCAAUUUCAAGAUGAUCUGUCGGUGGCCCAGUCUCUCGAAGGUGCUCAUAGAGAUAAGGUAUGCGUGCAUAUGUUCAUAGGUGUGAUGUGAGUGAUUGUGUCGAACUGUGUUUUCUAAAAAAAACUGAACAGGAACAGUAAUCCAAGCCACCAAGUGGCCGGGUCAAACGCAAUCGCUUCCUUCCUUCGGUGUAAAAGUGAGCGCACAACUGGUUACGACCAGUCAUACGUGCCGUUAAAACGCUAACCUAGCUAGUAGUACCAUUUACUGUAGCUGUACUAAGGAGGUUGACUGUAAAAUAUCGGCUACAAUUGGUCUGCUGAAGUGCUGCUGCUAAAAUCUCUCUAUAUAAAAAUGAUGUUGCUAUGUUUGCUGGUGCCUCUCGUUUGGCCUAGAAAGGUGACAAAGUGAAGCUUCCAUAGGAUAACUUUUACUUUUAGUACAGUAAAGUACAUUACACACCGUCUCACCGUCUGACUCUUAGCUAGAGCAAAACACCGCCCUACCCCUAAUGAACCACCAUGCUGUCGGCAGAUGACGACUACGUCGUGAAUAUUAUUGCAUCAGAGUCAACUCCAUUUUCUGAGCCAGAACAGGGGUGGAGAAUUUAGGAUGUUCCUAUCCAACUAUGAAACGCGCCCAUUCCAAAUCAUUUGAGGCACUAGCCUGAUAACAACCCUCUCUCGUACAGGAAGAUGUGGGCGACUAUUCACAAAACAUGCAUUGGAUUUAAAGACCCUCAUCAAGCCUCCAAGGUUCGAGUAGUCUCGAUAUAUGUAUACUAGCAAAAGACCCGUGCGUUGAUACGGAACUACGGAAAAUUGUAUCAGAACGUCAAAUCAAAUGUUGAUGUGUUUCAUGUGCACAUAUGUAUAUAACGAUUAUGAUAUGUUUAUUUUCUAGGCUAUACUCUAGUCUCUUUCUCUUUUGCACAUAUCUUAUUUCUUUAUCUCGUGUAAAGAGAAAGCGACACAUGCUCAACUCUUUUGCUCUCUACCUCCAGGUUAUCACUGUUCUCACAUACACCACACUUGAAAAGUCAUGUGUGAGCGUUUUUUUUAACUUUUUUACCGAAUUCAUGAAGUGAUUCUCAAUAUGAUCAUGAAUAAUGAAGAACAUGUAGCCAUGAUAACGUUUAUCACUUCCAUCCGUCCAAACCGCUCAACCUUCCGUGUGGUGAUGAUUUAAACAGCAAGCAUCGGUAUAUCGAUCAAGACAGCAAGCAGCAACAGCCAACAUAUAAAGCAAGCGGCAAUAUAAAUCAGCCUUCUUGCUCUCCUAUUACUCCUACUCCCUACUUUAUUUUUCAAAUCACUUCUUCCAAUUUCUCUCGUUCUCUCUCUGACUAUCCUCUCCAUCCAUCCUGAGUGCAAACUCCUCCUCUCCCCGUCCCGAUUCAUUCCGUCACCGAACAUUGCGCGGCCGCCCGCUUGUGCGCACCGCCUCCGCCCAUAGAUUCCCGCCGCCCGUCCGUUCCCACGUGUCGCCUGCUCCCACUUGCUGCCCGAUACGCCUGUGCGCCCUCUCGCAGUCUUGUCCGCCCGUUCACCGCACCCGCACGCCGCCCACACAUCACGUCCGGCCACUGGUUGCCGCGCGCCACUGCCCGUCGGGAGGGCCACCGAUGGCUCGCGCCGAUGCAGUCCCUGCUGCCUUGCGCGAGGCCACCGCCAUCCCGGUCUCAGGCUCAUCCCAUCGCCGUCCAAGUCCCGCGGGGAGCCAUAGGCACACACGAGCCGGUGGAGGCGGCGGUCGGGGCCCGCGACGGAGCCGCGGGUCCGCAGCCGCCUUCCGCACACGGACGCCGCCGACGCGCACCAUGAGCGGCGGCGGGCGCUGGCGAGAUCCAAAGGGCGGUGGCGAGAUCCGGAUCGGGUGGGGGUGAGAUUCGUAGGAGAGGAGGAGCAAUAAGUGAUCUGUUGUUGUUUUUUUUUUAGGCGGUACGUGUUUUUUCUGCGCUUGAGAACCGCGGGAGCUGGGGUUAAAAGGCACGUGGGGACAGCGGUGGCAAAUUCGUAAUUUUGGUGAAGUGACGUACCGCGACGCCAGUAUCAUCACCACCAACUCCAAAUUAAUAUAUUGGUAUAGAGAGGAUAUUGCGAUGACAGUGAAGUUCGCGUGCACCGUUCCUUCCCUGGCCGUCUUUCCAUUGCCAAGUGCAUGCAUGCCCCCACAAUGUGGUCGUGGAAGGAUCACGACAUGGAGUAUGGUCACAUACUCGCAUGUGCAGGUGCAUGUACUUUCAAUGCUAACUUUUUCUUUGUGUGUGUUUUAUCCCAAAAGGAGAGGGCGUGGACGUAUGUAAGGUCUAAUUCUCCAUGUUCCAAAUGGAGUAUCAUUUCAACGGGUAUAAUGAUAAAAUUAGGAGUACGUCGCCAAAGUAGAAGAUAUUGUGGCCUUGACAAAUCGUGCUAGGAGUCAACUUCGUGGCCUAAUCCAUAAUCAAACCAAAACGUACUUUGUUGUUCUCCCCAAAAGAAAAGUAUUUCGGUUGGGUUACUAGCAGGUUUACGUUGCUUCCGGUUCCUUGGGAUGCCAACAAAAAAAUUAUGAAAUAACUUUAGGACAAGUCUGUUGACCAAGUUCAUUACACCUAUAAAUACAGAAGUAUCGUGUUUUGAACAUGAGAUAACUUUUUUAGUUCUGUGUGUUCUUAGAUUAUAAUCCAUAGUUCACGUUUAGGACGUGAGCCGGUUGGUCGCGGUAGAUGUUUGUGUCGGACUAAUUAAAGUUUUCUUGCGCUGGUCUUUACCUAAGGCUGAUCAUAUGUGACGUACUGUUUACACACAAGUUCACUUACUGAAUUGACCAAUCGGUUAUUGUAUCGUGCGACCAAGUUAGUAUGUAGAAUUUAUGAGAUAAUUCGAUUGACAUUCGGUUUAAUGUUUAGAUGGCGAUCUAAUGUUUUCUGUACUUUGUAGGGAUGUAAGUUUGUAAUGAAAGUAAAAAACUAGAGGUCAUGUGUUGGUAUGUCGAGCUAUAAUUCUUCACGUAUCCAUUGAUAACUCACUCUAGUAAAUUUAGAGAAUAUAGAUUAUGACAAAUGAAACUGAGCUUAGUACAUAAUAUUCCGAUGACUUGUGAACAAAAUUAUAAUUGAAGGAUUGUAAUAUAUUGUUCGUGUAACGUUCACGAUAAAAAUAAUAUUGGCUUACCAUUAAACUUUUAGGGGCACGUGCUACAGGUGACUAUUACUCACUCCUUUCCGCUAUAUAGUGCUCAUCUCCAAAUACUAAAAUCAGGCCUUCUGUCCUCCCACAAACUCCCAUCUCAAACCACCGGUGCAUGUUUUGAUGACUUUUUAGCCAGCCAAUGCAUAAAGAAGAGGAGUGGUUAAUACAUAGAUUGAAUGCUUGGUAUAACACUUUGUUAGACUUCUCCUUUGUACUCAAAGAUAUUAAAGUUUGUCUUAAGUUAAAGAUAUUAAAAAAUUUCUGAUUUUUUUGGAAAAUGUAACAAGAGUUAUGACACUAAAUCAGUAUCAUUAGAUUAGUUUUGAAAUGUAGUUUCAUAAUAUACUAAUUUGAUGUCAUAUGUGUUGAUAUUCUUUUCAACAAAUCUGCCAAACUUAGAAAAGUUUGACUUAGGACAAAAUCUAGAAAGAGUAAAAUACAUCACUAGUCCAUGAACUCGGCAAAAAUAAACACUUUAGUCCACGAACUCAAAAAACGCACACUUGAACCCCUAAACUGGGACUACUGUGUCACUUUAGUUCAAAAACGGUCCGGCAAGGCUUAAACACGCCACGUGGCUGCCAUGUCGGCUUCGACGACCCCUUCACCGGCGUCUUCUCAUCAAAAUUGAGCGUUGUGUACUUGAUAGCAACCUUAGGCGAGACGGCGACGGCAACGACGUGGUUCUCAGGGCCCCAGGAUCCCUGUCUGGGCGCGGUCGCCUUGCCCCUAGCGGGCGGCUCGGGCAUGGUGAUUUUGCCAAAAAAAACCUAAGAAAACCGGGUAGCAGCCCGCGGUCCUAGCCGAGGCCGGCGUGGCGUGUUUAAGCCUCGCUGAACUGAUUUUGGAAUAAAGUGACACAGUAGUCCCAGUUUAAGCGCUUAAGUGUGCGUUUUCCGAGUUUGUGGACAAAAGUGUUCAUUUUUGCCGAGUUCAUGCACUGGUGGUGUAUUUUACUCUAUAUUUUGGAUAAAUACAAAUUGUGAUGCAUCCCCUUGUUACCUUUUAUGGCGCUUUUAAUAUAGGGAAUCUAACCAGUAGCAGGCCGCUAGCAAGGCACCGGGCCAACGUUCCGUUCCAUUUCAUGUCGAUUCUCAAACGCACACACAUAAUAUAGGUUGGAUCAAUCGCGUACGCAUUAUUUAUUCGUCCUUGGGUUAGCUGAGAACAAUAACUCCAAUUCAUGAUGUCGAAGUGGAAGGAAGGAAUCUGGACGGAACGGCCGGUAUGAAUCUGAAGGGUGAAGGCGGUAGCCAGAGGUUGGUACACUACUACAAAAACAGCUAUCAGUAACGGUCAAAAAAGUAUAACAGUAACGGGCAGGCCGCCCGCCACUAACCUCCUGCCAGUAAUGUGGUGUUCAUCAGUGACGGUCCCACACAAACGCCCGCCACUGAUGCAUUUUGGCAAAAUUAACAAAACGACCGGCCCAGGGGCCGGCGGGUGCUGGCGGCGCCCCAAACCCAUCCUCGGAGACCGGAGGCGGCCGUGACCAGAGGCGAAGCCCGCGCGUGGUCCUCCUGGCCGGGAUGGUCACGACGUCGUCCCCCACCAACCCCUUCACCUGCAGAAUGUUUUCCCCAUCACCGUCAGUCAGAUGCAGGUGAGAGAGAGAGAGAGGACAAGAGACGGACCAGGCAGGGCUAAUGGCUGGCCUUCAUCGUGGCGGUGGCGGCGCCCGGAAUCGGCGGGGACGAGCCGGGGCGUGCGACGGGAUUAGGAGGAGGCGGAGCCGGGGCGGCCGUCCAUGGCGGCGGCGGUGGCCGGUAAGCCGUGGCGGUGUCGGGGUUGAGGGAGGCCGCGGGGCCGACAGAGGAUGAGCUCGGGGGAGAUGGAGUUGGAGGGGGGGCUUGGGCGCAGGGGAGAUGAAGUUGGAGGAUGGGCCUUCGUGUGGGAGAGAAGAAGGGAGCAAAGGGAGUUCGUGGGAGAGAAGAAUAGGGGAGCACAGAGAGUUCGUGGGAGAGAAGAAGGGUGGUUGCAGGGCUGAGGGAGAAUGGAGAGAAGAGGUGGGGUACUUUAUACCAACCCCUUAACUCUAAAAUAUGCUAGGCCGGCACAGGUAUCCAGGGGCCAUCAGUGGCGGGCACAAAUGUUGUGCCCGCCACUGUUGUUUGUAUCAGUGAAUUUUGCACGUUUUUACAUUGGACCAUUACUGACGGACUCCCGUGCCCGUUAGUGAUGAUGGAUCAUCAGUGACGGUCCUUGCUCACCCGUACUGAUGAGAUGUCAUCAGUGAUGGGCGUGACACGCCCGUCAAUGAUAAAGGGUCAUCAGUGGCGGGUCUUUCCCGCCCAUGACCCGUCACAUAUGUUGUGUUUUGUAGCAGUGGUAGCUAACCGGUUUGUACCUACUCCGUAACCGAAACGGACACCCGUCUGCCACUUCACUAGCUCGAAAACAAACGUGAUCCCCGUGCUUUCGUGCGCUCGAUGGAUGUACAGGCUGACGAGACCAAUAUUGUUUCAGGUCAUCGCUUCCGUGAGUAGGCGCCACGUCGGCUGAGCUGCAACGGAAAACGCUCGUCAGAAAGGCAGUUAGGCGGCUCUCUUUCCUUCGGUGGAUAUACCAUCUGACUGAACUCCAUCACACAAAAGGCUCAACGAAAAGGUGGUUAGGCAACUCCCAAUCGGGCGUCUCCAUUAAUUCGAUCUCAACGCAUAUCUUUCAUCCGGAUAUCGGAGCCCACAAAAAGGCAUCUAGAAGGAUUCUUAUCGUGUCAUUUUUUGCAGGGUUAAGUAAGUUGGGUGGGUGCAACGGUGAAGGAAAGAACGAGGCGAGUGCUCUACUUCUGUAACACAAUAAUUAGAGAGGCCCAUUUUGUUUGGCCUGGAUAUCCAUCCUCUCUCACCUACCUAGCUAUCCUACAUUUAUCCAGACGAGCGCCUGAAAGAAGCACGGCCAAUCGGCCAUUGCUGCAUCCAUAUCUCUCAGAGCAUGUGACCACACUUGAGUCUUGACCACCUUCGGCGAAGAUGCAAACAUUAUUUAUUUCCAACUAGAAUUGUGAACUGGUUAUGGCAAGCAGAGCAGAAUGUUGGCUGGAUAGAUGUAAAGGGGUUAGGUGCAACCAGAAUUCUGGUAGAGAUGUCCUUGGUGGUGGACACAAAGGCUGGAGCCAAGCGAACCUGCAGAUAUAUCUCAAUCGAUCUUUCCGUAUCCAUGCAUCCCGUGGGAAUGGCGUGAAUCGCUCUGCCAAACAACCCAAAUGGAGAGGUGUUAUUCCUCGAGGGGCAAUUAUAUAUGGCUGGUAGUACCCAAGGCCCGCAAGUGUGCUGGAUUGAACAAACGAUGAUCGAUCUGUUAAAACAUUAUGGCCAACAAGUUUGUUGAACUCAAAGACAAAAGUAGUAUACUAGGCUACUAGCAACGUAAUCAUGGCUUUGUUUUGUUGCAUUGACUUGCUGCGCUUAAUUAGAUUAUGCUGUAACGGAAUGGUGCAUGAUGCAGAGACGAUGCUAUGUCUAACGUUCGCAAGACAUGUUUGAGACAGUUGCGAGAGCAAAAAGCGAUGCGUGUGAGAUCAUGUCAGGGCAAAGACGAGCAGCAUCGAAUCGAACGGCGAAGUCACCAUGCAUUUUCACCCCAGUUAUUAAUCAGUUGAGGUCGCGUAACAUUCCUGCCCGCACAAGCCGCGCGCACUCGCGCUUGCAGGUCAGGUAGUCAGCUGUCCGGAUGGCAAUUGGUAUCCGAAAUCCGAUUACCCGACGGGUCUAGAUCCGAUUAGACGCGGGUCUGAGGAAAAAAUAAAACCAACGGGUUUGUAAAUGGGAAAAUCUCGGACCCGUCGGGUCUGACAGGUUCGGGUCUGGUAGUACCCUACCCGAACCUGGAAAUCCGGUUCGGAAUACAGGCCCAAUACAAUGAGUUAAUAAAAGUCGCCCAACCCAAUGCACAAUCUGGCCCAAUCCACCAAAAAACCCUAACUGGCUGACUCCCAUCCGGAUUCCCGAUCCAGCCUCGGUCCUCCUCCCCCCCCCCCCCCCCCAUCGUUUCUUCUCUCUCGCGCCGGCGGUAGUCUCCACCCGACCACCCCUCCACUCUCCCACCGUCGUGAUCUGCUAUUUUGCUUCACGAUCCUCUUCUCCGUGAGAUGGUUCAGCCCGACAACUCUAGACAUGUAUCUCCCCGUGAGAUGGUUCACGUCGAGGACGCACGUGACCAUAGACCAACGCGCCCCGAACAGCGGCGGCGGGUCGAUCCGGAAGCAGUUCGACUAGCUGCCAUCGUCCUCGUAGUUCUCCAGCACCUAGAGGACC